GAUGAACGCUGGCGGCGUGCCUAAUACAUGCAAGUCGAGCGAACAGACGAGGAGCUUGCUCCUCUGACGGUAGCGGCGGACGGGUGAGUAACACGUGGAUAACCUACCUAUAAGACUGGGAUAACUUCGGGAAACCGGAGCUAAUACCGGAUAAUAUAUUGAACCGCAUGGUUCAAUAGUGAAAGACGGUUUUGCUGUCACUUAUAGAUGGAUCCGCGCCGCAUUAGCUAGUUGGUAAGGUAACGGCUUACCAAGGCGACGAUGCGUAGCCGACCUGAGAGGGUGAUCGGCCACACUGGAACUGAGACACGGUCCAGACUCCUACGGGAGGCAGCAGUAGGGAAUCUUACGCAAUGGGCGAAAGCCUGACAGAGCAACGCCGCGUGAGUGAUGAAGGUCUUCGGUUCGUAAAACUCUGUUAUUAGGGAAGAACAAAUGUGUAAGUAACUAUGCACGUCUUGACGGUACCUAAUCAGAAAGCCACGGCUAACUACGUG
RNAcentral lists this ribosomal RNA (497 nucleotides) under uncultured bacterium. RNAcentral describes it as "partial 16S ribosomal RNA". It matches the Rfam family "Bacterial small subunit ribosomal RNA", at positions 28 to 507 of the family's 1533-position model. The record is from RNAcentral.